UUCUCUCUACCCCGCGGCGGCUGCAUCUUUCUCUCUCUAAAAUUCAUCUUGUUCUUGCAUUUUUCUUGCAAAAUUGAACUUCCCCAAUCAUUCCAACCAUCCCAAGACUCAUUUAAUCAUCAUCAAAACAAAAUUUAAGCCAAAAUCUCAAAACCCCAAUUUGAAAUCCUAACGUUAAAACGAACCGUUUGCUUCAAUUUUGGCUUAUUUUUUCAUCACUUUUUGACCAAAUUGAGCAUCCAAAUCACUUCCUCUACCCCUCAUAUUCAUUUUAAUCGGUUUAAAUCUUUCUAUUUCAUCAAGUUACAAAAGUUCCCAUUACUGCAACCAUAUCAAUGGCUGAAACCUCAAGGAUCGGAAUAAGAAGAAAACAAGCUGCAAGGAGGAACUCAAUACCUUUUAGGGAGACUCAUGAGUUCGAGAUAAUCCAUUUCCCAUUGCUCCCUUGGCCUGACGCUUCCAAACUUGCUUUAUAGGUCGUAAGGUAAUCGAUUCUUACUAUGUGGAUUUGGAUGACUUUGAAGAUUUGGUUGUAUGUAAUAGAAGUGUAAAGGCAAUGUUAUAAUCUUCGGGGGAGGCUUUGAUUAUUGAGGAAUGAGUUUAUCCUAAUCUAGUUUGAGUAUUUUACUUGAAUAUGGAAAUUUCUGCAAAUAGGCUAGUUAGGAUAAUUACCAAUGUAGGAGGGGUCCCCAUAAAAUUUGAUGUAGAGGACUUAAACCAAAUCCUAGGGACUGAGAAUACGGGUUUCAAGAUAUAUACAUCUAGGAAGGGCUUCUCGUUUGCUGAUUUUAUUCAUUCACAUGCUAUUUGGAACAUUUGUAGGUGAAUAGACCUUUCUAAUGAUAUAUGCUCUCUCCCUUUCUACUCUCAGUUAUUACCUUUAUAAAUUAGGAUCCUCCACACUAUAUUACAAAAUAUUAUCAUUCAUAGGAAUGGGCAUUCGGAUGAGGUAACUGGGAUAAAAUUUGGAUUAUUGGAUUGUAUUCUUGAGAGGCGACCUGUUAACCUAAGCUAUGUCAUUCUAAUGCAUAUGUUGAGUACUUAUGGGGUUAAUAAUUAGUUGCUUCCUUGUGGUAGUAUUAUUACCAAAAUUCUCCAGCAUUUCGAUAUACCCUUUCGUGAGUCUGUAUAUGAGAAGACCAAGAGGAUAGAUGAAGAAGCCAUAAUUGGCAUAGGAUUUUAUAGGAUGAACAAGAAGUGGGUUAAUACGACCACGUCUAAGAACUGGGACACCCUUAUAGCUCUAGAAGAUGAUCGAGAGCUUAACGAUGUUUAUCCUGUUGAUCAGCUACCUGACGUUUUGCUAGGAGCUGGACCUCUUGUACCACGUCGAGGAGUAGUAGCACAACCUCAAGCAAAGUUUGAUUCUGAGGAAUGAGAUGGAUACUAAUCAGCCUCCAGCUCUAGAUGAUCCACCAGUUCUUGAAGGCCUUGUACAACAGUUGUUAGGUGAGGUUCGAUCACUCUCUAAGCAGCAGCAAUAGCUUCAAACUCAGUUUGCUACCUUUCAACUUCAUCACUAGCAACUUAUGGAUGGCCAGCAGUUCAUAUUCACUGCUCUUGACAUUCCACCUUCAUCUUUUUUAUCUCAUCCUCUGCAGUAGCUCCUUAUUGGUUUCUGUAUUUAAAUUUCGCACAAACAUCUUUAUGCAUCUUUUUAUUAUGACAUCUUGACUUUAUUAUACAUUUUGAUACUUAUAUGUGUUUGGUUUUCAUAUUUUGAUAAGUGUGAUGAUUUUGUGAUGAUGUUUUGGUCUUUUGAUGAUCGUUUACAAAGUGGUAUUGAUUUUAAUGAUUUAAGACUUUAGGUGUAAACUUGCUAACACUUGUUUUUUAAGGAGAUGCUUAUAGAUAGAGGGAGGUUCUGC
This 1868-nucleotide long non-coding RNA is filed under the name Citrus maxima (pomelo). RNAcentral describes it as "long non-coding RNA (CMAX_LNC002677)". Lineage: Eukaryota; Viridiplantae; Streptophyta; Magnoliopsida; Sapindales; Rutaceae. The record is from RNAcentral.